Molecule: long non-coding RNA, 324 nt
Organism: Eupeodes corollae
Lineage: Eukaryota; Metazoa; Arthropoda; Insecta; Diptera; Syrphidae
Exons: 3
Source: RefSeq, a predicted model, not a curated record
AUAGGGAACACAUCAUCAUCAAUCAAUGAAAAUGUUCUUAGAUGAGAGUGAAUAGAUGGAAACUCCAUUUUUAUUGGAACACAACUCCCAUUCAAGUGACUGGCUCGUUUGGCUUCUUUUCACUUUCAUUAUUUGAAAGUAGCAUAUGGAUUGUUUGGAUACUAUUGGACUAAACAAAUUGCCUUAUGAGGGGAUAAUACAUUAACUUUGGCGAGAAGAUAUAAUGAUGGUUUUUAGUAAAGCGGCUUAAAAACUGUUUCAACAUUAAAAAAAAUUUUAAAAGAACGGAAACCCGAACACUUAUAAAUUAUACCUUUUUGAAAA